Molecule: non-coding RNA, 17 nt
Filed under: Mus musculus (house mouse)
Lineage: Eukaryota; Metazoa; Chordata; Mammalia; Rodentia; Muridae
Source: RNAcentral
UAAUCAAGGCAGCAGGG